This 253-nucleotide ribosomal RNA is filed under the name uncultured bacterium. RNAcentral's name for it is "partial 16S ribosomal RNA". It matches the Rfam family "Bacterial small subunit ribosomal RNA", at positions 524 to 776 of the family's 1533-position model. The record is from RNAcentral.
GACGUAGGGCGCGAGCGUUGUCCGGAUUUAUUGGGCGUAAAGAGCUCGUAGGCGGCUCGAAAAGUCGGCGGUGAAAACUCGGGACUCAACUCCGAGGCGCCCGUCGAUACUGUCGAGCUUGAGUCCGGUAGGGGAGUGUGGAAUUCCUGGUGUAGCGGUGAAGUGCGCAGAUAUCAGGAGGAACACCGAUGGCGAAGGCAGCACUCUGGGCCGGCACUGACGCUGAGGAGCGAAAGCGUGGGGAGCGAACAGG